Molecule: ribosomal RNA, 455 nt
Filed under: uncultured bacterium
Lineage: Bacteria
Description: bacterial SSU rRNA
Rfam family: Bacterial small subunit ribosomal RNA
Source: RNAcentral
ACGAGUUUGAUCCGUGCUCAGAACGAACGCUGGCGGCAUGCCUAACACAUGCAAGUCGAACGAGACCUUCGGGUCUAGUGGCGCACGGGUGCGUAACACGUGGGAAUUUGCCUCGGGGUAUGGAAUAACUCAGGGAAACUUGAGCUAAUACCAUAUAAUGUCUUCGGACCAAAGAUUUAUCGCCCUGAGAUAAGCCCGCGUAGGAUUAGCUAGUUGGUGGGGUAAAGGCUCACCAAGGCGACGAUCCUUAGCUGGUCUGAGAGGAUGAUCAGCCACACUGGGACUGAGACACGGCCCAGACUCCUACGGGAGGCAGCAGUGGGGGAAUAUUGGACAAUGGGCGAAAGCCUGAUCCAGCAAUGCCGCGUGAGUGAUGAAGGCCUUCGGGUUGUAAAGCUCUUUUACUCGGGACGAUAAUGACGGUACCGAGAGAAUAAGCCCCGGCUAACUCCGUG